RNAcentral lists this ribosomal RNA (497 nucleotides) under uncultured bacterium. RNAcentral's name for it is "partial 16S ribosomal RNA". It matches the Rfam family "Bacterial small subunit ribosomal RNA", at positions 28 to 507 of the family's 1533-position model. The record is from RNAcentral.
GAUGAACGCUGGCGGCGUGCCUAAUACAUGCAAGUCGAGCGAACAGAUGAGGAGCUUGCUCCUCUGACGUUAGCGGCGGACGGGUGAGUAACACGUGGAUAACCUACCUAUAAGACUGGGAUAACUUCGGGAAACCGGAGCUAAUACCGGAUAAUAUAUUGAACCGCAUGGUUCAAUAGUGAAAGACGGUUUUGCUGUCACUUAUCGAUGGAUCCGCGCCGCAUUAGCUAGUUGGUAAGGUAACGGCUUACCAAGGCAACGAUGCGUAGCCGACCUGAGAGGGGGAUCGGCCACACUGGAACUGAGACACGGUCCAGACUCCUACGGGAGGCAGCAGUAGGGAAUCUUCCGCAAAGGGCGAAAGCCUGACGGAGCAACGCCGAGUGAGUGAUGAAGGUCUUCGGAUCGUAAAACUCUGUUAUUAGGGAAGAACAAAUGUGUAAGUAACUAUGCACGUCUUGACGGUACCUAAUCAGAAAGCCACGGCUAACUACGUG